This 330-nucleotide ribosomal RNA is filed under the name uncultured eukaryote. RNAcentral describes it as "partial 18S ribosomal RNA". It matches the Rfam family "Eukaryotic small subunit ribosomal RNA", at positions 1470 to 1796 of the family's 1831-position model. The record is from RNAcentral.
CCCUUAGAUGUUCUGGGCCGCACGCGCGCUACACUGAUGAAUUCAACGAGCUCCUAACCUAGGCCGAAGGGUCCGGGUAAUCUUUGAAAUUUCAUCGUGAUGGGGAUAGAUUAUUGCAAUUAUUAAUCUUCAACGAGGAAUUCCUAGUAAGCGCGAGUCAUCAGCUCGCGUUGAUUACGUCCCUGCCCUUUGUACACACCGCCCGUCGCUCCUACCGAUUGAAUGGUCCGGUGAAAUGUUCGGACCGCGACAAGGCGGACGGUUCGCUGUCAGCUUUGUUGCGGGAAGUUCAUUAAACCUUAUCAUUUAGAGGAAGGAGAAGUCGUAACA